GGCUGCGGUCCAGGCGCUGGGACCCGCCAUGGGUCUCUUCCUCCAUCACGAGGGGCAUCGUGAUACUGUUUUUGAGAGCCUGCCCUGUCUCCUGCAGCAGUACGGGGCAGGGGUCGACAACCUUCAUGUCACCGUGAGUCUGAGCCGGGUCUUGGAGGUGGCCUAUGAUUUUCAGGUGCCUCUCCCUGACGGGACACUCGGGAUCGUCUGCCUCGCCCUGCACGACCAGGUAAGGGACGGCCGGUCCUGUACCGCUCAUCCUGGGCCCAGCAGGUCCAAGUCCCGUGAACCCGAUAGGGCCAGCUGAUGGCCAUGCAAAGCCCCACUCUGCUGGUGAGCUCUCUGCUUGCCCAAGAAGAAGAAAACAGGCUGUGGCCUCCUAGUCUCCCCUCAGUCCAGUUCAAAUCCCUGGAGCAGGUGCAUGCAAAUCCCUUUUCCUCGCGAGUCGGACCCAGAACGAUCCCCGCCUUGGCACGAGUCCAGCCAAGAGCAGCCGUGCUGCUGAAGGGACUUGGAAGCCAGGAUCCCCUCUGGUUUAUGGUCUUGACCUUUGUGUUGUUGGCUCUUGCUGUGGUGGCAGUGAUGUCUCCUGGGGCUCAGGAAAACUCUGGUUCAAGUCAUGGAAAGUGGGACUUGCGGAUCCACGCCACACUUUCAUCCCCAUGCAGAUGGGACUGUGGAGCAUCCCUUCCCUUCCCUUCCCUUCCUCCCACAGGUGUGUGAUUACGCGCAGCUGCCGAGACCAGAGAACCAUGCCAAGGUGUUGUACUGUCUCGGUCUGCUCGGUAAGGACGAGAGAGUCCAGGUGCCACGGGGGUUUCCUUCGCACCUCCCUGCACCGGACCAAACCCUGAGGGGGAACGGGAACGAGGAGCGCUGAGCUCACCAGGGUUGUGCUCUUCUCCCCACAGCCUCUCUCUCCCCAGACCAAUUUAUUUCUUUUGUGGGCUCCUGGCUCCAGGCCGACAAGGAGGCAAGCCGUGUGGCGUCCCUCUCCAUCUUCAGUGGCAUCCUUGCUGCUGACCUGCCGGAGAUGCGGGAGAAAAAAUGUGACAUGGUGCAGGCCAUGAGGGGCACGCUCGGCAAUGAGAGCAUUG
Long non-coding RNA from Alligator mississippiensis (American alligator), 1097 nucleotides. RefSeq lists it as uncharacterized. Lineage: Eukaryota; Metazoa; Chordata; Crocodylia; Alligatoridae. The transcript is spliced from 3 exons. The record is from RefSeq and is a predicted model, not a curated record.